Molecule: ribosomal RNA, 484 nt
Filed under: uncultured bacterium
Lineage: Bacteria
Description: partial 16S ribosomal RNA
Rfam family: Bacterial small subunit ribosomal RNA
Source: RNAcentral
AUUGAACGCUGGCGGCAUGCUUUACACAUGCAAGUCGGACGGCAGCGCGGGCUUCGGCCUGGCGGCGAGUGGCGAACGGGUGAGUAAUACAUCGGAACGUGCCCAGUAGUGGGGGAUAGCUCGGCGAAAGCCGGAUUAAUACCGCAUACGACCUGAGGGUGAAAGCGGGGGACUUUAGGGCCUCGCGCUAUUUGAGCGGCCGAUGGCAGAUUCGCUAGUUGGUGGGGUAAAGGCCUACCAAGGCGACGAUCUGUAGCUGGUCUGAGAGGACGACCAGCCACACUGGGACUGAGACACGGCCCAGACUCCUACGGGAGGCAGCAGUGGGGAAUUUUGGACAAUGGGCGCAAGCCUGAUCCAGCAAUGCCGCGUGUGUGAUGAAGGCCUCCGGGUUGUAAAGCACUUUUGGCAGGAACGAAAAGUGCCGUGCUAAUACCACGGUACGAUGACGGUACCUGCAGAAGAAGCACCGGCUAACUACGUG